This 1491-nucleotide long non-coding RNA is filed under the name Zonotrichia albicollis (white-throated sparrow). Its description in RNAcentral is "lncRNA (ENSZALG00000007287.1)". The record is from RNAcentral. Lineage: Eukaryota; Metazoa; Chordata; Aves; Passeriformes; Passerellidae.
GAUCGGACCGGGGUCUGACCGAGAUCUCACCGGGAUCUCACCGGGAUCUCACUGGGAUCUGACCGAGAUCUCACCGGGAUAACGCCGGGAAAUCACCGGGAACAGGAUCAGACCGGGAUCCAGGACGGACGGGACCCCGGGGUCUGACCGGGAUACCGGGAUCGGGUCACCGGCAUCAGGAGCUGACCGGGAUAACCCCGGGAUAACGCCGGGAUAACACCGGGAUAACGCCGGGAUAACACCGGGAUAACGCCGGGAUAACCCCGGGAUAACACCGGGAUAACACCGGGAUAACACCGGGAUCACACCGGGAUAACACCGGGAUAACACCGGGAUAACACCGGCAACAGGAUCGGACCAGGAACGGGACACCGGGAAUGGGACCUGACCGGGAUCCAGAACGGAACCGGGACACCGGGAACGGGAUCGGGAUCAGGAGAGCCGGAUCCAACCGGGAACGGAACAGGAUCCAACCGGGAUCCAACCGGGAACGGACUGGGAUUGGGACAGCGGGAACGGAACGGGAUCAGCAAUGGAACGGGAUUGGGAUUGGGAACGGGAUUGGGAUGGGAUUGGGACACCGGGAACAGACUGGGAUUGGGAUUGGGAAUGGGAAUGGGAUUGGGAUGGGAUUGGGACACCGGGAAUGGCCAUUGGGGACCGGGACAUUGGGAUCAGAACGGGACCGGGACACCGGGAAUGGGACGGGAUUGGGAUGCUGGGAAUGGACUGGGAACGGGAAUGGAACGGGAAUGGGAACGGGAACGGGAACAGGGCAGGAACGGGAAUGGGAAUGGACCGGGAUUGGAUCGGGAUUGGGAUUGGAUUGGGAUCAGGAACAGGAACGGGAACGGGAUUGGAUUGGGAUUGGGAUUGGGAACAGGGCAGGAAUGGGAUUGGGAACGGACCGGGAUUGGAUUGGGAUUGGGAGCAGGAAUGGCCCAGGAAUGGGAAUGGGAACAGACUGGGAUCCCGGGAAUGGGAUUGGGAUCAGGAAUGGGAUCCCGGGAAUGGAGCAGGAACGGGAUUGGGAACGGGAUCAGGAACGGGAUCAAAGCGGGGUCCCAGGAUUGGGAUCGGGAGCAGGAUCAGACCGGGAUUGGGAACAGGAUUGGGCCAGGAUUGGGACUGGGAUCAGACCGGGAUCCUAGGAAUGGAUUGGGAUUGGGAACAGAGCGGGAAUGGGAAUGGACCAGGAUUGGGAUUGGGAUCGGGAUCAGGAUUGGGAUUGGGAUCGGGAUUGGGAUCGGCAAUGGGAUCACACCGGGAUUGGGAUCGGGAAAUUUGGGAAUGUGGGAUCGGCCCCGGGAUGGGAAAAGACCCCAAAUCCAUCGGGAUCGGGAUGGGAAAAAUCCCAAAGUCCCAAAAUCUCAAUUUUCCUCAAAAAACCCCGGUUUGAGUCCCCAAAAUCUCAUUUGAAAUCCCAAAUUCCCAUUUUUAAAUCCCAAAAUCCCUUUUUUUUUUUGGCCCCCACCCCAAUUCCCAUUUUUA